AACGAACGCUGGCGGCAGGCUUAACACAUGCAAGUCGAACGCCCCGCAAGGGGAGUGGCAGACGGGUGAGUAACGCGUGGGAAUCUACCCAUCUCUGCGGAAUAGCUCUGGGAAACUGGAAUUAAUACCGCAUACGCCCUACGGGGGAAAGAUUUAUCGGGGAUGGAUGAGCCCGCGUUGGAUUAGCUAGUUGGUGGGGUAAAGGCCUACCAAGGCGACGAUCCAUAGCUGGUCUGAGAGGAUGAUCAGCCACAUUGGGACUGAGACACGGCCCAAACUCCUACGGGAGGCAGCAGUGGGGAAUAUUGGACAAUGGGCGCAAGCCUGAUCCAGCCAUGCCGCGUGAGUGAUGAAGGCCUUAGGGUUGUAAAGCUCUUUCACCGAUGAAGAUAAUGACGGUAGUCGGAGAAGAAGCCCCGGCUAACUUCGUGCCAGCAGCCGCCGCGG
Molecule: ribosomal RNA, 447 nt
Filed under: uncultured bacterium
Lineage: Bacteria
Description: partial 16S ribosomal RNA
Rfam family: Bacterial small subunit ribosomal RNA
Source: RNAcentral